GAUGAACGCUGGCGGCGUGCUUAACACAUGCAAGUCGAACGUGAGAAUAGCAAUAUUUGAAAGUGGCAAACGGGUGAGUAACACGUGGGAACCUGCCUCGAAGUGGGGGAUAACGAUUGGAAACGGUCGCUAAUACCGCACGGUUCUGCUCUGAUGGGAAUGGAGCAGAUAAAGAUUUAUCGCUUUGAGAGGGGCCCGCGGCCGAUUAGCUAGUUGGUAAGGUAAAGGCUUACCAAGGCGAUUAUCGGUAGCUGGUCUGAGAGGACGAUCAGCCACACGGGAACUGAGACACGGUCCCGACUCCUACGGGGGGCGAGCAGUGAGGAAUAUUGGGCAAUGGGCGAAAGCCUGACCCAGCAACGCCGCGUGGAGGAUGAAGGCUUUAGGGUUGUAAACUCCUUUUGUGGGGGAAAAGAAUGGAUGGUACCCCAAGAAUAAGUCACGGCUAACUACGUG
This 456-nucleotide ribosomal RNA is filed under the name uncultured bacterium. RNAcentral's name for it is "bacterial SSU rRNA". It matches the Rfam family "Bacterial small subunit ribosomal RNA", at positions 28 to 507 of the family's 1533-position model. The record is from RNAcentral.